This is a long non-coding RNA of Andrographis paniculata, 395 nucleotides long. RefSeq lists it as uncharacterized. The transcript has 3 exons. NCBI's taxonomy places the organism in Eukaryota, Viridiplantae, Streptophyta, Magnoliopsida, Lamiales, Acanthaceae. The record is from RefSeq and is a predicted model, not a curated record.
UUAUUAGCCCCACCUCAUCCAUAUCAAUUCAAUUGCAUAUUCUAAGAGAGGGAAAAUGCAGAGGAAAGGAAACGCGAAGAAGAAAAGAAAAAAGGGAAAAAAAAAUUUACGCCGAAUUCGUUAAAAGCCUAGUUCAGAUACGAUACUGGAAUCGGAAAAAAGGCUUUAAGAGUUAGGAUUAUUGACGUUUUUGGCGAAUUUCAGGUAAUCCUGAUGAUAUAUGACUUGUUGGACAGACUGGAGUAGCCAUGGCGCUCUUACAGGCAUUUUGAGUUACCGUGUACAUAGAUGACGACCUGCGGGCAGGACCGUGGUUUGUUUUGCUUUCGUUGUGCUAUAUUACGUCUGUUUUAGAAGUUGUAUGGUAUUGUUAUAAAUAGUAUGUCGAUUGUGUA